Molecule: non-coding RNA, 169 nt
Filed under: uncultured Flavonifractor sp.
Lineage: Bacteria; Bacillati; Bacillota; Clostridia; Eubacteriales; Oscillospiraceae
Description: malK-I RNA
Rfam family: malK-I RNA
Source: RNAcentral
CCGGUCCUACUCCAUUCCCAUAGGCCGGAGGAGUCGAAAAAAGGAGGAAAAUCCGCCGGGCCGGCGGUGCGGCAGUGUGGAGACCUGUCGUAACGUUCCGGGAGUUUCACUCUCCCGGAGCAAGAGGGUAUUUGCGGAGGCAUUGCCCUUACGGUCCAUACAUAUGGCA